RNAcentral lists this ribosomal RNA (910 nucleotides) under Cortinarius nivalis. RNAcentral describes it as "partial large subunit ribosomal RNA". It matches the Rfam family "Eukaryotic large subunit ribosomal RNA", at positions 39 to 936 of the family's 3401-position model. Lineage: Eukaryota; Fungi; Basidiomycota; Agaricomycetes; Agaricales; Cortinariaceae. The record is from RNAcentral.
CAUAUCAAUAAGCGGAGGAAAAGAAACUAACAAGGAUUCCCCUAGUAACUGCGAGUGAAGCGGGAAAAGCUCAAAUUUAAAAUCUGUCAGUCUUUGGCUGUCCGAGUUGUAAUCUAGAGAAGCGUUAUCCGUGCUGGACCGUGUACAAGUCUCCUGGAAUGGAGCGUCAUAGAGGGUGAGAAUCCCGUCUUUGACACGGACUACCAGUGCUUUGUGAUGCGCUCUCAAAGAGUCGAGUUGUUUGGGAAUGCAGCUCAAAAUGGGUGGUAAAUUCCAUCUAAAGCUAAAUAUUGGCGAGAGACCGAUAGCGAACAAGUACCGUGAGGGAAAGAUGAAAAGAACUUUGGAAAGAGAGUUAAACAGUACGUGAAAUUGCUGAAAGGGAAACGCUUGAAGUCAGUCGCGUUGUCCAGGGAUCAACCUUGCUUUUGCUGGGUGUACUUUCUGGUUGACGGGUCAGCAUCAAUUUUGACCAUUGGAAAAAGAUCAGGGGAAUGUGGCAUCUUUGGAUGUGUUAUAGCCCUUGGUUGCAUACAGUGGUUGGGAUUGAGGAACUCAGCACGCCGCAAGGCCGGGUUUUAACCACGUACGUGCUUAGGAUGCUGGCAUAAUGGCUUUAAUCGACCCGUCUUGAAACACGGACCAAGGAGUCUAACAUGCCUGCGAGUGUUUGGGUGGAAAACCCAAGCGCGUAAUGAAAGUGAAAGUUGAGAUCCCUGUCGUGGGGAGCAUCGACGCCCGGACCAGACCUUUUGUGACGGUUCCGCGGUAGAGCAUGUAUGUUGGGACCCGAAAGAUGGUGAACUAUGCCUGAAUAGGGUGAAGCCAGAGGAAACUCUGGUGGAGGCUCGUAGCGAUUCUGACGUGCAAAUCGAUCGUCAAAUUUGGGUAUAGGGGCGAAAGACUAAUC